GAUGAACGCUGGCGGCGUGCUUAACACAUGCAAGUCGAACGGAAAGGCUCCUGCUUGCAGGGGUACUCGAGUGGCGAACGGGUGAGUAACACGUGGGUGAUCUGCCCUGCACUUCGGGAUAAGCCUGGGAAACUGGGUCUAAUACCGGAUAGGACCACAUUUUGGAUGGUGUGGUGGAAAGUUUUUCGGUGUGGGAUGAGCUUGCGGCCUAUCAGCUUGUUGGUGGGGUAAUGGCCUACCAAGGCGUCGACGGGUAGCCGGCCUGAGAGGGUGUACGGCCACAUUGGGACUGAGAGACGGCGCAGACUCCUACGGGAGGCAGCAGUGGGGAAUAUUGCACAAUGGGCGCAAGCCUGAUGCAGCGACGCCGCGUGGGGGAUGACGGCCUUCGGGUUGUAAACUCCUUUCGCUAGGGACGAAGCGUUUUUGUGACGGUACCUGGAGAAGAAGCACCGGCUAACUACGUG
This 467-nucleotide ribosomal RNA is filed under the name uncultured bacterium. Its description in RNAcentral is "partial 16S ribosomal RNA". It matches the Rfam family "Bacterial small subunit ribosomal RNA", at positions 28 to 507 of the family's 1533-position model. The record is from RNAcentral.